Molecule: long non-coding RNA, 2509 nt
Filed under: Sus scrofa (pig)
Lineage: Eukaryota; Metazoa; Chordata; Mammalia; Artiodactyla; Suidae
Description: lncRNA (ENSSSCG00000033271.2)
Source: RNAcentral
CCUUUGCUGUGCAAAAGAUUUUCAGUUUGAUGAGGUCCCAUGGGUUUAUUUUUGCUCUAAUUUCUAUUGCUUUGGGAGACUAGCCUGAGAAAAUAUUCAUGAUGUUGAUGUCAGAGAGUGUUUUGCCUAUGUUCUCUUCUAGGAGUUUGAUGGUGUCCUGUCUUAUAUUUAAGUCUUUCAGCCAUUUGGAGUUUAUUUUUGUGCAUGGUGUGAGGGUGUGUUCUAGUUUCAUUGCUUUGCAUGCAGCUGUCCAGGUUUCCCAGCAAUGCUUGCUGAAUAGACUUUCUUUUUCCCAUUUUAUGUUCUUGCCUCCGUUGUCAAAGAUUAAUUGACCAUAGGUGUCAGGGUUUAUUUCCAGAUUCUCUAUUCUGUUCCAUUGGUCUGUCUGUCUGUUUUGAUACCAGUACCACACUGUUUUGAUGACUGUGGCUUUGUAGUAUUUCUUGAAGUCUGGGAGAGUUAUGCCUCCUGCUUGGUUUUUGUUUCUCAGGAUUGCUUUGGUGAUUCUGGGUCUUUUGUGGUUCCAUAUAAAUGUUUGGAUUGUUUGUUCUAGUUCUGUGAAAAAUGUCAUGGGUAAUUUGAUAGGGAUUGCAUUGAAUCUGUAGAUUGCUUUGGGUAGUAUGGCCAUUUUUACAAUAUUGAUUUUCCCAAUCCAGGAACAUGGAAUAUCUUUCCAUUUCUUUACAUCUUCUUUGAUUUCUUUGAUUAAAGUUUUAUAGUUCUCGGCAUAUAGGUCCUUUACCUCCUUGGUCAGGUGUAUUCCGAAGUAUUUGAUUUUGUGAGGUGCAAUUUUAAAAGGUAUCGUGUUUUUGUAUUCCUUUUCUAAUAUUUCAUUGCUGGUAUACAGAAAUGCGACUGACUUCUGAAUGUUAAUCUUAUAUACUGCUACUUUGCUGAAUUUAUUAAUCAGUUCAAGUGGUUUUUGGGUUGAGUCCUUAGGGUUUUCUAUGUAUAGUAUCAUGUCCUGCUUUCAAGAUUUUCUCUUUAAUUUUGGUCAGUUUGAUUAAUAUGUGUCUCGGUGUGUUCCUCCUUGGGUUUAUUUUAUAUGGUACUUGUUGUGCUUCCUGAAUUUGAGUGAGUAAUUCCUUCCCCAUGUUAGGGAGGUUUUCGGCUGUUAUCUCUUUGAAUAUUUUUUCUGUCUCCUUCUCUCUCUUUCCUCUCCUUCUGGACCCCAUAAUACGGAUGUUGGUGCGUUUCAUGUUGUGCCAGAGUUCUCUGAGACUCUCUUCAUUUGUUUUCAAUCUUUUUUCUCUUCUCUGUUCUGCAUCUGUAAUUUCCACUAAUCUGUCCUCCACCUCGCUUAUUUGUUCUUCUGCCUCCUGUAUUCUGCUGUUAGCUGCUUCUAGUGAAUUUUUAAUUUCAGUUAUUGUAUUUUGCAUCUCUUCUUGUUUAAGUUUUAUAUCUUGUAUCUCUUUGGUCAGUGUUUCCUGUAAGUUAUCCAUCUUUGCCUCCAGUUUAUUUCCAAAGUCUUGCAUCAUCUUCAGCAUCAACAGUCUAAAGUCUUUUUCCUGGAGGCUGAGAAUCUCCUCAUGGCUUAGCUGUUUUUCUGGGGUUUUUCCUUUCUCCUUCAUCUGAGUUAUAGUCCUCUGUCUUUUCAUUUUUAUAGGUUUUUGGUGUGGUGACCUCCUUUCAGAUAAUAGAGUUGUAGCCUCUCUUACUUCUGAUGUCUGCCCCCCUGUGGCUGAAGUCAGUAUGGGGGCUUGGUGUAGGCUUCCUGAUGGGAGGGGCUGAUGCCUGCCCCCUGGUAGGAGGAGCCGAUUCUAAUCCCUCUUGUGGGUGGGGCUUAGUCUCUGGAUGGGAUUAGAGGCAGCUGUGUGCCUGAGGGGUCUUUAUGUAGUCUGUUUACUGAGGGGUAGGGCUGUGAUCCAACCUGGGUUGUUGUUUGCCCUGGGGCUUCUCAGCAGCUGACUGAAGGGUGGGUCCAGAUUUUCCCAAAAUGGCCACCUCCAGAGAAAGGCACUGCUGCUGAAUAUUCCCGAGAGCUUUGCUUUCAAUGUCCUUCCCUCAAAACAAGCCAUGUUCACCCCUGUUUUCCCAGGAUGUCCUCCAAGAACCGCGGUUAGGUUUGACCUAGAUUCCUUUGGAGACUUUGCUCUGCCCUGGGACCCAGUUCACGUGAAAGUCUGUGUGCGCCUUUUAAGAAUGGGGUCUCUGUUUCCCCCUCUCCCGUGGAGCUCUUUUUCACAAGCCCCACUGGCCUUCAAUGCCAGAUGCUCCAGGGCUCUUUCUCCAAGUGCCAGAUCCCCACACGUGAGAGUUUGAUGUGGGGCUCAGAACUCUCACUCCUGUAGGUGAGUCUCUGUGAACCAGUUAGUUUCCAGUCUGAGGAGCUUCCCACCCAGGAGGUAUGGGGUUGUUUAUAUAACGAAAUCACCCCCUCUUACCUCUUGAUGUGUCCUCCUCUUUUUUUUCUGGAGUAGGGUAUCUUUUUUAAGGUGUCCGGUCCAUUUUGGUGAAGAGUGCUCAGUCUUUAGUUGAGAAUUUUGUUGUUUUUAGGGGAGAAGUUGAG